GGAGGGGGCAAGCGUUGUUCGGAAUUACUGGGCGUAAAGGGCACGUAGGCGGCCUGAUUAGUCAGGCGUGAAAUCCCAUGGCUCAACCAUGGAAUUGCGUUUGAUACUGUCAGGCUUGAGUAUGGGAGAGGAGAGUGGAAUUCCUAGUGUAGCGGUGAAAUGCGCAGAUAUUAGGAGGAACACCAGUGGCGAAGGCGACUCUCUGGCCUGAUACUGACGCUGAGGUGCGAAAGCGUGGGGAGCGAACGGGAUUAGAUACCCCGGUAGUCCACGCCGUAAACGAUGGGUACUAGGUGUAGGGGAGUAUGAAAUCUUCUGUGCCGAAGCUAACGCAUUAAGUACCCCCCGCCUGGGAGUACGAUCGCAAGAUUG
Molecule: ribosomal RNA, 372 nt
Filed under: uncultured organism
Description: partial 16S ribosomal RNA
Rfam family: Bacterial small subunit ribosomal RNA
Source: RNAcentral